RNAcentral lists this small RNA (28 nucleotides) under Bombyx mori (domestic silkworm). RNAcentral's name for it is "ovarian small RNA-25395". Lineage: Eukaryota; Metazoa; Arthropoda; Insecta; Lepidoptera; Bombycidae. The record is from RNAcentral.
UCACUCACGGGGUCACCACUUUAGGAGU